AAUGGAUGGAAAUCUGAUCCAGCCAUGCCGCGUGCAGGAAGACUGCCCUAUGGGUUGUAAACUGCUUUUGUAUGGGAGCAAUAAGCCCUUCGUGAAGGGUGAUGAGAGUACCAUACGAAUAAGCAUCGGCUAACUCCGUGCCAGCAGCCGCGGUAAUACGGAGGAUGCGAGCGUUAUCCGGAUUUAUUGGGUUNAAAGGGUGCGUAGGCGGUUGGAUAAGUCAGCGGUGAAAGUUUUCUGCUUAACAGGGAAAAUGCCGUUGAUACUGUCUGGCUAGAAUAUGGUUGCUGUGAGUGGAAUGUGUGGUGUAGCGGUGAAAUGCUUAGGUAUCACGCAGAACUCCGAUUGCGAAGGCAGCUUACUAAGCUACAACUGACACUGAAGCACGAAAGCGUGGGGAUCAAA
RNAcentral lists this ribosomal RNA (405 nucleotides) under uncultured bacterium. RNAcentral's name for it is "bacterial SSU rRNA". It matches the Rfam family "Bacterial small subunit ribosomal RNA", at positions 370 to 772 of the family's 1533-position model. The record is from RNAcentral.